RNAcentral lists this transfer RNA (94 nucleotides) under Nocardioides sp. LS1. Its description in RNAcentral is "tRNA-Ala". Lineage: Bacteria; Bacillati; Actinomycetota; Actinomycetes; Propionibacteriales; Nocardioidaceae. The record is from RNAcentral.
GGCGGCCUCGGCCAGCGGGCGCAGCUGGUCCUCGAUGUUGGCGCCGACGACGCCGACGCCGAUCGCGCGGCGGAUCGUCUCCGCCGGGUCGCCG